This 554-nucleotide ribosomal RNA is filed under the name Dindymus pulcher. Its description in RNAcentral is "partial 16S ribosomal RNA". It matches the Rfam family "Bacterial large subunit ribosomal RNA", at positions 1806 to 2622 of the family's 2925-position model. The record is from RNAcentral. Lineage: Eukaryota; Metazoa; Arthropoda; Insecta; Hemiptera; Pyrrhocoridae.
AUCAAAAACAUGUCUUAUAGUAAAUUGAUUUUAAGUCUGACCUGCUCAAUGAAAUUAAUUUUAAAUUGCUAUAGUAUUUUGACUAUACAAAGGUAGCAUAAUAAUUUGUCUUUUAAUUGAAGACUUGUAUGAAUGGUUGGACGAGGGAUAAUCUUUCUUAAUUUAAAUUUUAUUUUGAAUUUAAUAUUUUUGUAAAAAAGCUUAAAUGUUGUUGUGGGACGAGAAGACCCUAUAGAAUUUUAAUAAGAAUUUAAAAAUAUUAUUGUAGAAAAUUAAAUAAUAUUUUUAAAUUCUUAUUUUUGUUGGGGUGACAGUAGAAAAUUUUUAACUUCUAUUUAAUUUAAUUCAUUAAUGAAUGUGCUAAUGAUCCUAUUUUAUGGAUUAAAAGAUUAAAUUACCUUAGGGAUAACAGCGUUAUUAUUUUGGAGAGUUCAUAUUGAUGAAAUAGUUUGCGACCUCGAUGUUGGAUUAAAGUUAGUCUUAUAGUGCAGAAGCUUAAUGACUAGGUCUGUUCGACCUUUAAAUCUUUACAUGAUCUGAGUUCAAACCGGAGA